GGAAGUAAAGUCGCAACAAGGUUUCCGUAGGUGAACCUGCGGAAGGAUCAUUAUUGUAUAACCGAGGUGCGAGGGCCGUCGCUGACCCGAAAGGUCGUGCACGCCCGAGUGCCCUCACACACAUCCAUCUCACCCCUAUGUGCACCACCGCGUGGGUCCCCCUUUGGCUUGUUCGGAGGGGGGCUUACGUUUUCACACAAACUUUGUAUGCAGUGUAGAAUGUAUUUUUUGUUUUUGCGAUCACGCAAUCAGUACAACUUUCAACAACGGAUCUCUUGGCUCUC
Molecule: unclassified non-coding RNA, 284 nt
Filed under: plant metagenome
Description: partial contains small subunit ribosomal RNA, internal transcribed spacer 1, and 5.8S ribosomal RNA
Rfam family: Eukaryotic small subunit ribosomal RNA (bases 1-53)
Source: RNAcentral